RNAcentral lists this ribosomal RNA (108 nucleotides) under Planctomycetaceae bacterium. Lineage: Bacteria; Pseudomonadati; Planctomycetota; Planctomycetia; Planctomycetales; Planctomycetaceae. The record is from RNAcentral.
CCCGGUGAACAUAUUGAAAGGGCCACACCUGUUCCCAUACCGAACACAGUAGUUAAGCCUUUCAAGCCGAUGAUAGUGCCAAAAGCGCGAAAGUAGGUAUCGCCGGGU